This 134-nucleotide ribosomal RNA is filed under the name Klebsiella pneumoniae. RNAcentral's name for it is "partial 16S ribosomal RNA". It matches the Rfam family "Bacterial small subunit ribosomal RNA", at positions 1410 to 1533 of the family's 1533-position model. The record is from RNAcentral. Lineage: Bacteria; Pseudomonadati; Pseudomonadota; Gammaproteobacteria; Enterobacterales; Enterobacteriaceae.
GUGGGUUGCAAAAGAAGUAGAUAGCUUAACCUUCGGGAGGUCGCUUACCACUCUGCGAUUCAUGACUUUGGUGAACUCGUAACAAGGUAACUGUAUGUGAACUUCCGGUUGGAUCACUUCCUUACCUUAAAGAA